CUUGGUUUUGAAUAAAUAGCUUUGGUCGUUACGUGAAAAUCGGCUAAGAUGCAGGUCAGGAGCCAUCUCGUUAGGCGUCUGGACUCUUAAAGCGGAGGGGUUACUGGAUAGUGUUGUUGUAUAGUUUUGUUGUACAGUGAUGUAUAUAUAUGUACAUAGCUUUCUCUCCGCAUAACUUGUUCUUUUUUAUCCUCUUAGAGG
Arachis ipaensis is the source of this 201-nucleotide non-coding RNA. NCBI's taxonomy places the organism in Eukaryota, Viridiplantae, Streptophyta, Magnoliopsida, Fabales, Fabaceae. The record is from RefSeq and is a predicted model, not a curated record.